RNAcentral lists this ribosomal RNA (1482 nucleotides) under metagenome. RNAcentral's name for it is "SSU rRNA". It matches the Rfam family "Eukaryotic small subunit ribosomal RNA", at positions 1 to 1424 of the family's 1831-position model. The record is from RNAcentral.
UCUGGUUGAUCCUGCCACUAGUUAUAUGCUUGUCUCAAAGAUUAAGCCAUGCAUGUCUAAGUACACACGAAUUAAAAGUGAAACCGCAAAAGGCUCAUUAUAUCAGUUAUGGUUCCUUAGAUCGUUAACAGUUACUUGGAUAACUGUGGUAAUUCUAGAGCUAAUACAUGCAUUAUAAACACGGACCUUUGGGACGUGUGCUUUUAUUAGGCUAAAACCAAGCGAUCGCAAGAUCGUUAUUAUGGUUGAACUCUAGAUAACUUGCAGAUCGUAUGGUCUUGUACCGACGACAGAUCUUUCAAAUGUCUGCCCUAUCAACUUUUGAUGGUAGUAUCUAGGACUACCAUGGUUGCAACGGGUAACGGGGAAUCAGGGUUCGAUUCCGGAGAGGGAGCCUGAGAAACGGCUACCACAUCUAAGGAAGGCAGCAGGCGCGUAAAUUACCCACUCCCAGCCCGGGGAGGUAGUGACGAAAAAUAACAAUACAGGACUCAUUAUAGAGGCCCUGUAAUUGGAAUGAGUACACUUUAAAUCCUUUAACAAGGGCCUAUUGGAGGGCAAGUCUGGUGCCAGCAGCCGCGGUAACUCCAGCUCCAAUAGCGUAUAUUAAAGUUGUUGCGGUUAAAACGUUCGUAGCUGAACUUGUGCUUCAUACGGGUAGUAUAACUAUAAUUGUAGUCUGUACUAUACCUUAUGUAUGUAAGCGUAUUACCGGUGGAGUUCUUAUAUAUAUUAAAUACUUGUAUUUAUAUGUAUUCCUCCUAUUUAAACCUGCUUCAGUGCUCUUCAUUGCGUGCUGUUGUAGGCCGGUACAAUUACUUUGAACAAAUUAGAGUGCUUAAAGCAGGCUCCAAAUGCCUGAAUAUUUUGUGCAUGGAAUAAUGAAAUAAGACCUCUGUUCUACUUUCAUUGGUUUUUAGAUCAAGAGGUAAUGAUUAAUAGAAGCAGUUUGGGGGCAUUAGUAUUACGACGCGAGAGGUGAAAUUCUUGGACCGUCGUAAGACUAACUUAAGCGAAAGCAUUUGCCAAAGAUGUUUUCAUUAAUCAAGAACGAAAGUUAGAGGUUCGAAGGCGAUCAGAUACCGCCCUAGUUCUAACCAUAAACGAUGCCAGCUAGCAAUUGGGUGUAGCUACUAUUAUGGCUCUCUCAGUCGCUUCCCGGGAAACCAAAGCUUUUGGGCUCCGGGGGAAGUAUGGUUGCAAAGCUGAAACUUAAAGGAAUUGACGGAAGGGCACCACCAGGAGUGGAGCCUGCGGCCUAUUUUGACCCAACACGGGAAAACUUACCAGGUCCGAACAUAAGCGUGUAAGACAGAUUGAUAGCUCUUUCUCGAAUCUAUGGGUGGUGGUGCAUGGCCGUUCUUAGUUCGUGGAGUGAUUUGUCUGGUUAAUUCCGAUAACGAACGAGACUCAAAUAUAUUAAAUAGAUGCUUUCAGGAUUAUGGUGUUUGAAGCUUUUAUAGCCUUCAUUCAUGAAUGCAG